AUUGAACGCUGGCGGAAUGCUUUACACAUGCAAGUCGAACGGCAGCACGGACUUCGGUCUGGUGGCGAGUGGCGAACGGGUGAGUAAUGUAUCGGAACGUGCCCAGUCGUGGGGGAUAACGUAGUGAAAAUUACGCUAAUACCGCAUACGAUCUAUGGAUGAAAGCGGGGGAUCGCAAGACCUCGCGCGAUUGGAGCGGCCGAUAUCAGAUUAGGUAGUUGGUGGGGUAAAGGCCCACCAAGCCAACGAUCGGUAGCUGGUCUGAGAGGACGACCAGCCACACUGGAACUGAGACACGGUCCAGACUCCUACGGGAGGCAGCAGUGGGGAAUUUUGGACAAUGGGCGAAAGCCUGAUCCAGCCAUUGCGCGUGCGGGAUGAAGGCCCUCGGGUUGUAAACUGCUUUUGUACAGAACGAAAAGGUUUCUACUAAUACUAGGAGCUCAUGACGGUACUGUAAGAAUAAGCACCGGCUAACUACGUGCCAGCCGCCGCGGUAA
This 500-nucleotide ribosomal RNA is filed under the name uncultured bacterium. RNAcentral describes it as "partial 16S ribosomal RNA". It matches the Rfam family "Bacterial small subunit ribosomal RNA", at positions 30 to 523 of the family's 1533-position model. The record is from RNAcentral.